RNAcentral lists this ribosomal RNA (1558 nucleotides) under Escherichia coli. Its description in RNAcentral is "bacterial LSU rRNA". It matches the Rfam family "Bacterial large subunit ribosomal RNA", at positions 1271 to 2812 of the family's 2925-position model. The record is from RNAcentral. Lineage: Bacteria; Pseudomonadati; Pseudomonadota; Gammaproteobacteria; Enterobacterales; Enterobacteriaceae.
UGCUGGAGGUAUCAGAAGUGCGAAUGCUGACAUAAGUAACGAUAAAGCGGGUGAAAAGCCCGCUCGCCGGAAGACCAAGGGUUCCUGUCCAACGUUAAUCGGGGCAGGGUGAGUCGACCCCUAAGGCGAGGCCGAAAGGCGUAGUCGAUGGGAAACAGGUUAAUAUUCCUGUACUUGGUGUUACUGCGAAGGGGGGACGGAGAAGGCUAUGUUGGCCGGGCGACGGUUGUCCCGGUUUAAGCGUGUAGGCUGGUUUUCCAGGCAAAUCCGGAAAAUCAAGGCUGAGGCGUGAUGACGAGGCACUACGGUGCUGAAGCAACAAAUGCCCUGCUUCCAGGAAAAGCCUCUAAGCAUCAGGUAACAUCAAAUCGUACCCCAAACCGACACAGGUGGUCAGGUAGAGAAUACCAAGGCGCUUGAGAGAACUCGGGUGAAGGAACUAGGCAAAAUGGUGCCGUAACUUCGGGAGAAGGCACGCUGAUAUGUAGGUGAAGCGACUCCCUCGUGGAGCUGAAAUCAGUCGAAGAUACCAGCUGGCUGCAACUGUUUAUUAAAAACACAGCACUGUGCAAACACGAAAGUGGACGUAUACGGUGUGACGCCUGCCCGGUGCCGGAAGGUUAAUUGAUGGGGUUAGCGGUAACGCGAAGCUCUUGAUCGAAGCCCCGGUAAACGGCGGCCGUAACUAUAACGGUCCUAAGGUAGCGAAAUUCCUUGUCGGGUAAGUUCCGACCUGCACGAAUGGCGUAAUGAUGGCCAGGCUGUCUCCACCCGAGACUCAGUGAAAUUGAACUCGCUGUGAAGAUGCAGUGUACCCGCGGCAAGACGGAAAGACCCCGUGAACCUUUACUAUAGCUUGACACUGAACAUUGAGCCUUGAUGUGUAGGAUAGGUGGGAGGCUUUGAAGUGUGGACGCCAGUCUGCAUGGAGCCGACCUUGAAAUACCACCCUUUAAUGUUUGAUGUUCUAACGUUGGCCCGUGAUCCGGGUUGCGGACAGUGUCUGGUGGGUAGUUUGACUGGGGCGGUCUCCUCCUAAAGAGUAACGGAGGAGCACGAAGGUUGGCUAAUCCUGGUCGGACAUCAGGAGGUUAGUGCAAUGGCAUAAGCCAGCUUGACUGCGAGCGUGACGGCGCGAGCAGGUGCGAAAGCAGGUCAUAGUGAUCCGGUGGUUCUGAAUGGAAGGGCCAUCGCUCAACGGAUAAAAGGUACUCCGGGGAUAACAGGCUGAUACCGCCCAAGAGUUCAUAUCGACGGCGGUGUUUGGCACCUCGAUGUCGGCUCAUCACAUCCUGGGGCUGAAGUAGGUCCCAAGGGUAUGGCUGUUCGCCAUUUAAAGUGGUACGCGAGCUGGGUUUAGAACGUCGUGAGACAGUUCGGUCCCUAUCUGCCGUGGGCGCUGGAGAACUGAGGGGGGCUGCUCCUAGUACGAGAGGACCGGAGUGGACGCAUCACUGGUGUUCGGGUUGUCAUGCCAAUGGCACUGCCCGGUAGCUAAAUGCGGAAGAGAUAAGUGCUGAAAGCAUCUAAGCACGAAACUUGCCCCGAGAUGAGUUCU